This is a long non-coding RNA of Panthera uncia (snow leopard), 608 nucleotides long. RefSeq lists it as uncharacterized. The transcript is spliced from 2 exons. The record is from RefSeq and is a predicted model, not a curated record. Lineage: Eukaryota; Metazoa; Chordata; Mammalia; Carnivora; Felidae.
AGACCCCUGCCCAAGCACCCAACACCUGUGAUCAUCACCUGCCUCUUAAUUCAGCUUAAUCCAGAUCUCCCCCCUGGGACUUGCGGGAUACAAAGGGAGGGCAGGCAUCUUCUGGAAUCAGAACAGCUCUCCAUGACAGAUCCAGUGAGCUCACUCAAGGACUUGUGCCCAGAGACUCAGUGCCUCAGCGCCUCAGCAGCCUCCCCAGGAAGAGCCACCCUUCCCAGUUCUGUCCCAGGCCUGAUGGUCCCUCACAGAGGAAGAGACCAGCCUUUGUUGUCACCUCCCAAGAAUCAGCUGCUGCACUGGGCGUUUCCCAGACCUUCAAGUUAGAAAUAGUACCACUGUUGUGCCGUGUUACAGACUGGAGAGCUGAGCCUCCGCUAGGACGGCCUUCAGAGGUAGUCUUUAGCCUUAGGGCUGGAGACUGGAGAACCCCAGCCGAGGGCCACAAGGCCCUGGUAUCUCCAGGACCUCAAGCUUCUCCAUUGCUGGAUUCCAAGCACAGUGUGACCCAGCAGGGCUCCUCGGGAAGGCCCCGGACCCCCCACCCCUACCCCGGGGCCAUUAAAGCUUGCUUUUCUUGUUUUAUAGAAUUAACUCUUUAA